UACGGAGGGGGCUAGCGUUGUUCGGAAUUACUGGGCGUAAAGCGCACGCAGGCGGUCUUCCAAGUCAGAGGUGAAAUCCCCAGGCUCAACCUGGGAAUUGCCUUUGAGACUGUUAGACUAGAGGUCGGGAGAGGGUAGUGGAAUUCCCAGUGUAGAGGUGAAAUUCGUAGAUAUUGGGAAGAACACCAGUGGCGAAGGCGGCUACCUGGACCGAUACUGACGCUGAGGCACGAAAGCGUGGGGAUCAAACAGG
RNAcentral lists this ribosomal RNA (253 nucleotides) under uncultured bacterium. RNAcentral's name for it is "partial 16S ribosomal RNA". It matches the Rfam family "Bacterial small subunit ribosomal RNA", at positions 524 to 776 of the family's 1533-position model. The record is from RNAcentral.